CAAUAGCGUAUAUUAAAGUUGUUGCAGUUAAAAAGCUCGUAGUAGGAUUUCUGGUUGAAGCGACCGGUCGGGCGUUGAUUCGUCUGCACUGGAGUCGGUUUUGGCCAUCCUCUAGGAAAGUGCGUCUGGUAUUAAGUUAUCGGGCGUAUGAUCCUGGUCUUUUACUGUGAAAAAAUUAGAGUGUUUAAAGCAGGCCUUCGCCUUGAAUACAUUAGCAUGGAAUAAUAAGAUAGGACUUUGGUCUAUUUUGUUGGUUUGCAGACCGAAGUAAUGAUUAAUAGGGAUAGUUGGGGGUAUUUAUAUUCCGAUGUCAGAGGUGAAAUUCUUAGAUUUUCGGAAGAUAAACUUAUGCGAAAGCAUUUACCAAGGAUGUUUUCAUUAA
This 382-nucleotide ribosomal RNA is filed under the name uncultured eukaryote. Its description in RNAcentral is "partial 18S ribosomal RNA". It matches the Rfam family "Eukaryotic small subunit ribosomal RNA", at positions 592 to 976 of the family's 1831-position model. The record is from RNAcentral.